This 510-nucleotide ribosomal RNA is filed under the name uncultured bacterium. RNAcentral's name for it is "partial 16S ribosomal RNA". It matches the Rfam family "Bacterial small subunit ribosomal RNA", at positions 28 to 507 of the family's 1533-position model. The record is from RNAcentral.
GACGAACGCUGGCGGCGUGCUUAACACAUGCAAGUCGAACGAAGAGCGACGGAAGCUUGCUUCUAUCAAUCUUAGUGGCGAACGGGUGAGUAACGCGUAAUCAACCUGCCCUUCAGAGGGGGACAACAGUUGGAAACGACUGCUAAUACCGCAUACGAUCUAAUCUCGGCAUCGAGGAGGGAUGAAAGGUGGCCUCUACAUGUAAGCUAUCACUGAAGGAGGGGAUUGCGUCUGGUUAGCUAGUUGGAGGGGUAACGGCCCACCAAGGCGAUGAUCAGUAGCCGGUCUGAGAGGAUGAACGGCCACAUUGGGACUGAGACACGGCCCAGACUCCUACGGGAGGCAGCAGUGGGGAAUCUUCCGCAAUGGACGAAAGUCUGACGGAGCAACGCCGCGUGAGUGAUGACGGCCUUCGGGUUGUAAAGCUCUGUUAAUCGGGACGAAAGGCCUUCUUGCGAAUAGUGAGAAGGAUUGACGGUACCGGAAUAGAAAGCCACGGCUAACUACGUG